RNAcentral lists this ribosomal RNA (538 nucleotides) under uncultured bacterium. Its description in RNAcentral is "bacterial SSU rRNA". It matches the Rfam family "Bacterial small subunit ribosomal RNA", at positions 28 to 518 of the family's 1533-position model. The record is from RNAcentral.
GGUGAACGCUAGCGGCAGGCCUAACACAUGCAAGUUGAACGGUGUCGAUGUGGGGCCAUCUUUGUGCCCCACUUAGACACAGUAGCAAACGGGUGAGUAGCGCACAAGAAUCUACCUCUUACCUCGGUCUAAGGAAGGUCAGCAACAGCUGUCCACACCGAAUCCCGGAUAAGACUAAAACCAACCAAUCGCCUAACAAAGGGUUGAUGGUAGAAGAUACCAAUGUGUUGGCUAUUCAAAGGCCAAGUGGCCGGUAAGAGAUGAGCUUGUGUAGGAUUAGGUAGUUGGUGAGGUAAAGGCUACACCAAGCCAAAGAUCCUUAGCCGGUCUGAGAGGAUGGCCGGCCACACUGGGACUGAGACACGGCCCAGACGGUUUCGGGCGGCAGCAGUGAGGAAUCUUGGACAAUGAGCGAAAGCUUGAUCCAGCCAUGCCGCGUGAGGGAAGAAGGCUAAAUGGGUUGUAAACCUCUAACCUCAGGAUAGAUUGUGACAUAGCUUGAGGAAAAAGUCCCGGCUAACUCCGUGCCAGCCGCCGC